Molecule: long non-coding RNA, 210 nt
Filed under: Elaeis guineensis (African oil palm)
Lineage: Eukaryota; Viridiplantae; Streptophyta; Magnoliopsida; Arecales; Arecaceae
Description: long non-coding RNA (EGUI_LNC063494)
Source: RNAcentral
GAGAGAUGCUACACAAGGUCGGAAGCCAGAAAAGUCCUGGAAGUGUCGGUCUUUUACAAACUUCGGUCGGGGGGUAUUUUAUACCCAACAGUCAUGUUCUAAUGAGAGAAGAAGAAAAGAAGGUCUUCUCUUAAGGUUUAUUUUAGAACCCUUCUUCUCUAUAAAUCAUGAGAUUUUUCUAUGAGAAAAAUCAGAUAUCAUAAGAUCUGG